RNAcentral lists this ribosomal RNA (800 nucleotides) under uncultured bacterium. RNAcentral's name for it is "bacterial SSU rRNA". It matches the Rfam family "Bacterial small subunit ribosomal RNA", at positions 8 to 818 of the family's 1533-position model. The record is from RNAcentral.
AGAGUUUGAUCCUGGCUCAGGAUGAACGCUAGCGGCAGGCCUAAUACAUGCAAGUCGAACGGUGUCUUCGGACAUAGUGGCGCACGGGUGCGUAACACGUAUGCAACCUACCUUACAUUGGGGGAUAGCCUUUCGAAAGGGAGAUUAAUACCGCAUAAGACAGUAGCUGGGCAUCCAGCAGCUGUUAAAGAUUUAUCGAUGUAAGAUGGGCAUGCGUCCAAUUAGUUAGUUGGCGAGGUAAUGGCUCACCAAGACUUUGAUUGGUAGGGGAACUGAGAGGUCAAUCCCCCACACUGGCACUGAGAUACGGGCCAGACUCCUACGGGAGGCAGCAGUAGGGAAUAUUGGGCAAUGGACGCAAGUCUGACCCAGCCAUGCCGCGUGCAGGAUGAAGGCGUUAUGCGUUGUAAACUGCUUUUAUACAGGAAGAAACGACUCUUGCGAGAGGCAUUGACGGUACUGUAUGAAUAAGCACCGGCUAACUCCGUGCCAGCAGCCGCGGUAAUACGGAGGGUGCAAGCGUUGUCCGGAUUUAUUGGGUUUAAAGGGUGCGCAGGUGGUUUAUUAAGUCAGUGGUGAAAGACGGUCGCUCAACGAUUGCAGUGCCAUUGAAACUGGUAGACUUGAGUAAAGUAGAGGUGGGCGGAAUUGAUAGUGUAGCGGUGAAAUGCAUAGAUAUUAUCAAGAACUCCAAUUGCGUAGGCAGCUCACUUGGCUUUUACUGACACUCAUGCACGAAAGUGUGGGUAUCAAACAGGAUUAGAUACCCUGGUAGUCCACACUGUAAACGAUGAUAACUA